GGCCAUUAACACAAAGGUGGAAAUGCAACUUAUUGUCACCCAAAGGGGGCAAGCUAGCCCAUGGCCACACAAAGGGAUGAAAGUCAACCCAUAGCCAAACCGAAGGGGCAAGUCAAUAAAUGGCCCCAAAGGGGGCAGGUCAACCCAUGGUCACAGAGGGCAAGUCAACCCAUUGCCACACAAGUUUUUGUCACUUUUUUUUUGUAUAACACUGAAUACCAAUCUGCCUUUGUUAUUCAUUAAGAAAAAUUCGUAAGGGUUCCACGGAACCCAGUGUCUCGCCUACUUUUGCUGUUAGUCGCAGGCUCAACAAAAAUGGGGAAAAAAUUAUAAAAAAUUUUCCUCUAGAUACUAUC
Molecule: long non-coding RNA, 356 nt
Organism: Mytilus californianus (California mussel)
Lineage: Eukaryota; Metazoa; Mollusca; Bivalvia; Mytilida; Mytilidae
Exons: 2
Source: RefSeq, a predicted model, not a curated record